AAAGCUUAGGAGCAGCAUAAUCUAUUGCAGCAUCUCUGCUCUGAGUGUUUUAUCAGUAGCUGCCACGUGCUCUUUGUGAAUGAGUCUUUGCUGGCAACUGUGCAGCCUCUGAAUGUGUCCAUCAGGAAAAGUGCAGCUGGCUCAUCCAUCUCCUUACACUCCUUCAGCUGUGUCCACGGUGUGCCUGCCAAAUGAGAGCAUUCCCACCCAAAGCUGGAGCCUCUGGAGAGACACAGCCCUGCCUCGCUUUUGGGGCUUUGGAAAGCGCUGCCUGCUCAAGGUGAGGUCUGGGCAGUGUCUUUGUUCUUAAUGUGCCCGUGGUGACCAAGCUCUUGUUGUCACUAUGAGAAAGGAUUCAGACCCUAUGGAUUGGUUGCAGCAAAUUAUGAUUCUUUUUCCUUGCUGGAGUUUUUCAGUUCUGUUGAAUGUGUAAUUCCAGCUAUGGCAACAAGAGUAGAAAUAAAUUCUACUUUGGCGUCUUUGACGGCAGUCCCUGACCUGGCUGAGCUCAGGGCUGAGGAGAAGGCACAGCGUGUGUAUGUCAGUGUGCUUUCAGAUGCCAGCAACAAGGCAAAAGAGGCCUCAACAUCACUGACUCUCGAAGAAAACAAGAAAUUUGGGAAUUCCUUGAGAUCUGCAACGAUGCCCUCGCUGGGAUCCAGGCCGAGACUUUUCCCAAAGCCUUUCUGUAAAGAGAAAUCCUCGGAUACUUUUACAAAUGUCAAACCGCCUGUCCCAGCGUUCAGAUCCAGCAGCAUGGUGAGAAAGAGCACUGAGGAAACGUCCUCUGUGAAGCUGUCGAGUGGGAAUGUCCCUCCUUUGCUGGAUCAGAAAGCCAUUGACACUGAAAAUCAGGCUGACAGUGACAUGGUGACAAACGUGACUUUUUACACAGGGCCCAGUGCCAACACGGUGAUUCUGUUUGAGCCAGCGUGUCCCGAGCAGGCCAAGGUCAGCCUGGCCCAGGAGAAAAGGGGAUUUACUGCUCUGCAAAGCAAGGACCUCCAGGGCUCUGGGAGACCAGCAGAGACACCCAGCAAUCCUGUUGGCUCUCUCCACAGGCAGAUGUCCUUUUCCUCCAGUCUCAGACCAAACUCCCUCAAAAUCAGUGAAAAGAAAGAUGCUCGUGAAGUUCAUCCAGGGGAGAAAAACAACGAUGAUGCAAAUAAUCUCAACAAUAAAGUUGAUUUCUCUGUUGAUGUCCAGCAAAGGGCAAAACAUAGGCCAGUGUCUGCUAUUUUUCUGGAAUCAUUACGAGAUCAAAAGCAUCACGCUGUGGAAGCUUCUGAGGAAAAAUCUCCUGCUGAGAAAUCUGGGGUUAGAAAACCAAGGCCUUUGUCCAUGGACCUGACAGCUAAGUUUGAACAUAAAGAUCUUUCUUCUUGCAAGAAGGCUGGUUCAUCCCACGAAAGCAAGGAGAAUGUGUCCAUAAUUGCUUUUACUGAUGUGGGUAGUCAUGAUCAGUCUGAAACAGGGCCAAAACAUGAACAAACUGAAUUUAAUAAAAGCAGUUCUUCUAAAACAAAUCUGAAAUGCAGUAGUCAGGACAUUGGCAUCCUAAAUAAUGGGAAAUACAGCUGGGAAACAAAACUUAAAUCUAAAAGUGAACAAAUUGAGACAAAACCAGAAAUAAUUAUUAACUUGCAUGGUCCUGAAAGAAGUCCUGAAACAACCAGUGAAAGCAGAACUAAUAAGGGGGGGAAAAGAUCAGAUCAGAAGGACCAAUACAAGUUCCAGGGCUGUGAAAGUCCUGCAGCUUCCUCAGAAAAAGAGAAUAAUAUCUUAAGAGGUAGUGUUAAAAAACAUAUUAGUUUGUUUACUUUGGAAAAUCCCAGUGCCACAGUGGAUACAGAGCUUCUCCCAGCAGCUGCUGAGAAGGAGAACAGGUGUGUGACCAUCCAGCAGAGGAUCAAGGAGCUGACAACAGAAAAUCCUGAUGUAAAGGGAGGAAAUCUGCGCCGCUCGCUGCAGUCACGGCCACUCUCUGCAGACUUAACCAAGAUGUUUUCAAGUCCAACGUCAGGGGGUGAAGCAAAGCCUGAAAAACCUGGGGAGGCUGGAGCUGACUCGAUCCAUGACCUGCAGGAAAAUCCAAAAAGCAAGGAGCUGAAGCUCACCCAUGGCACAGAUCUCACAGAGGCAUUUUCUCCUGGGAAGUCUUGGAAAUCCCGGCAGGUUUUGAAGAUAACCAAUAAACCUGAUCAGCUGGAGAGGAAAGGAAGCUUCCUGGGAGACGGUCAGCAUUUCUCACAGCAGAGUGAGAGUUCUGUCUCAUUCACAAGUAACUUUGAAAAGAAAUUAAACCCAGCACUUCUGGAAAAGCCUUUCAUUAAAACUGUCCGAGCCACCCUGUUUGAGCACAAUGUCCAGAAGCACAACGUUGUUGCUGAGCAUUCUGGGGCUGAUCCUGCAGCAAAAAGGAAUCAGGAGCCUGAGGCAAAGCAGGACCUGAUGGUUUUAGGGCACAGCAGGCGCUCCUGGAUGGGAGAAGGGGAGGAAACCACUCCUCCAAAGGAGCAUCACAAGCAACCUGAUCCAUCAAAACAUCCAGCACAUGUAGAGAAAAGUCCAAAACCUGCUUGUUUAAGUGAAGACAAGAAAAUUAUCUUAGAAAAAUCUUUGAUUGAGAAAAAUGAAAAACCCACUCCCAAGAGUGCAGAAGAUUCUCAAAUUUACCAAAGAAUAGAGCCCAGGUAUGAAAUCUUUCAGACAUGUGGUGAAAGGGCUCUUAGUGAAGCCAUCACAAUGACUCCUGAGAAAAAGGCCAUGACACUCAGAGCUAGAAAAUCAUCUGUGAAAGAGAAUAAAACUGAUGAGGACGUUGUACACACAGGGCAGUCAGUUAAGGCAAGUAGUCACACUCUUUACUUGAAAGAAGAUGAUGUUACUUCAGAAGCCAGAGAGGCAAAAGUUCUCACAAGCAAGGCUGUGUUGAGAGAACCUGCUGGUUUUCUCUCCAGUGAAUGCACUUUACCUGAACAGAAAAGAGACUCUGAUAAAACUGAUCCCGAGCCACUGUUCAUAUCUGAGAAAAUACCUUAUUCCACGAACAAAAGUAAAGGUUUGGGAAUGGGUGAAAAAGUCAACAAGCUACAUGCUGAAAUUAAAGGUGAUAAAAGUGAAGUCUCUCCUGUAGAGAAAUCAGAGAAGAUUAAUGUUGUGAAAUGCUCUUCUGAGAAAAGGAAUUUCAGGGCAGGUGGGACAGACAUCCAUGAAUUCCGAACCAACCUGGAUCGUGAGGUGAUUUCCACAAGUGUCAAUAAACACGGGGCUCAGGCUUCAGUGCUUGCAAUUGGGCAGUAUUUUAAAUCUUCCAGUAGCCACACCCCUGAUACAAAAGGACUGAACGUUACUAAAGAGGAAUCUGGGGCUUUUGGGUUGAGGAAAAGUCUGGACUUAAAUUGCAAAGAGCAAGAUUUUAGCUUGGCUUGUACAGCUCCUGAAAACAGCGAGAAACUCCGAGGAGCAGCAGAUCCAGAAGAAAAAGUCAGGAGAAGCAGAAGUAGCGUUUCUGACUUGAGCAUUUCUGAAAGGUGGAAGAGGAGGACCUUGCCUCAGGAGUCACUCAAGGUAGAGGAAGUUGUGUGGCUCACUCCUGAAAAUAUCAAGAAGCUGAGCCGGGCAGAUUCAUUGCAAUUGAAUGAAAGUUCACUUAAAAAGAGAAGCAAAAAAAUUAAAGAUGAGGUGGAAGGGAGUGAGGCAAACCAAGCUGUUCUUGGCAGUCCUGAUGAUUACAUGAAACAUCAGAGUUCUGUCUUUGAGCCAAAGGCAACUUAUUUUGCAGUGACUUAUCAGGUUCCUGGUAUCAAAAAAGAGAAAAGCUUUGUUGGUGCUCCCAGUGCAAGUGAAAUUAAUACUGUUCCUGGUUCAAGCGAGGGAGCAGCAAUUAAUCUGGACCCUGUUUUUCCUGGAAGGUCCAAACCUUCAGUGCAGCAACCAAAUAAAAAUGUGACAAGUUCAUCUAGUAGAGAAGACUCCUGGGAAAUGCAUAUUAGCAAGGAGUGGGUCAAAGAAGAUGAAAAAGAUGCUGUUUUCUCCAAAAAUGUUGCAUUUGGUAAUAUUCAUGUGUCUAGGAAAGAUAACCAGCAGCAUCACGAAAAGGGCCUGGAUCAUUCUAAAGAGAAAAUUAUAGAUGUUGAUGCUUUCCUGUUAAAACAUGAUCUGGAAAAUGCAGCUCAAGCUGAUCUCAGGAGUGGCAGAAGGAAAGUCUCUUACCACGAGCCCCGGUCCCCACCACGUUCCGCGCAGGGGCGUAAGGACAGCGAGCAGGGCCCCCUGAAAAGGAGUGACAAUAAUUCUGAUUUGCCUGCAAGGAAGGCUGAGGAUGGGUACAGAUCCCAAAUUCUCGAUAUUGAUGCACUUAUGGCAGAAUAUAAAGAAGAAUCAGCAAAGGCCAGUAAAGUUCAAGAGAAGCUCUCUGAAGAUCUUGGCUCACUGACUAGGGAGAAAUCAAAGAACAAAAGAAAUGUGUCAGAUAGAAUGCCUCUUACCUACAGCUGGAACGAGUGGAAGAGUGGAUCGGACCACUAUUCAGUUAAUAACAAACCAGGUGAACGUGCAGAAGAGCAGCACAGGCCAGAGAAACUAAUCCUAAAUGAAAAGAGCAAAGAGAAACUGGAAUUACGGAGCCCUGAUUUCGAUAAGCAGAUGUCCAAAGACAGAAAGGUCAGCCCUCCUUACUGGGGAAACCCCAGCAGCAUUUUUCCUGAGAAGUUUGUAAAUUCACCCAUGGAAUUUGCUAGGAAGAAAACUUUCAUUGUUGAUGAGGGUGAGGAAGUGAACUUGACCUCCAGAAAUCAGGGUGCAAAAUUUGUAAUUGAAAAGGUACAGCCCAUAAAUGCAGUGAGCACAGAGCAGAGGCUGGAAGUCAACCUGGCCUCCAAGUUGUCCCUAAAGGCUGAUGAUGGACUCUUGCAGAAGAAGUUGGUGACAAAAGAGGUACCUCCAGAAAGUGACUGGAGCAAAAACAUAGUGAGGAGCUCUACACUGAGAAGCAAAGACAGCGCAAAUAAAAUGUGUGAGGGUGACUCUUCCAAAAGUAAGAGCGAUUGGAGGAGCUGCAUGUCCGGGUUUGGGACUGUCCCCGCGGAUCUCAGACGAUCCUACUCGGAGAAAUGCCGCCAGGGGAGGGACAGCCUGCCCCUCCUGCAGGAGAUGAGGGCGAGGAAGGAGCUGCAUCGAUCCAGGCCAAGCUUCCCCUUGGAAAGUGGAGAGAACUCGUGGAAACACAAGGUGUCAGCUCACUCAGAUCCAUUCUUCCACGAGGAUAAAAAGACUCCCAGGAAAGAGUGGAGCAAGCAGAGCUCAGACAAAACAGAGGGAACAGACUUUUCCUCAUUGUCUACACAGAGGAGCCACCACAGUUUCUACAAGGAGAGAAGAGCAGAUUUUGGGAUGGACCAGCUGAGGCAAUGCUUCUCCAGGCAGCCUGCAGGGGCGAAGGACACGGACACGCUGGUGCAGGAGCCCGACAGCCAGUACGGCACCUGGAACGAGCCGCGGCACAGCGGGGACAGCUUUGUGGGAGAAUCUCCUUCCCUGGACAAUGAGGUGGUGUCAGGUCGGAAGCAGCCCCCGGGCAGCCACCCAUCCUCGCUGUCCUCGCAGACAGAGCCUCCCUCCCUGGCUGAGCACCAUGACUUCUCCAAAGACCAAAGGAGCACCAGCCUGGACCGUUCCAGCACUGACAUGGACUCCACUGAUGGCACUGAUUUGCCUCCUGCAGGGGACACACUCCCUGAGGACAAGAGCAGUUAUUUCUCCUUCAUUGAUCACACGGCUGUCCUGGACUCCAGUGCUCUGAAAACUCGGGUGCAGCUGAGCAAGAAGCGCCGGCGCCGGGCGCCCGCAUCCCACUCGCUGCGCAGGAGCAGAGGGCUGGACCUGGAGAACAGGUUUUCCUUGACAGAAGAGACAGAAAAUGGCUGGAUGUUCAAAGAUUCCACAGAAGAGAAGAAAACUAUGCAACAGGAAGAUUCUGAGGAGGAAGACAAGAUCCAGCACACUCCAAGGUCAUCUUCUGUGCAAGCCCAGAGACUGCCCGUGUUCCCAGGGAUGGAUCACUCUGUCCUCAAGGCCCACCUGCGGAAAAGGCAGGAGUCUGAGAGCACUGGUGACAUCGGCUCUGCUCAGCUCUUCAAAUCCCCCAAAGCACAGCUCGGCACUCCCAGCAGCAGAGUGCUGCCCUCCAGUGUGGAAAAGGAGGACAGGUCAGAAGAAAAGUCUCCUCAGUGGCUGAAGGAGCUGAAAUCAAAGAAGAGACAGAGCCAUUAUGAGAAUCAGGUUUGAAAAGACAGUGAUUCUGACUAGGAGAAGAUAAAGAAGUUUAACAGAAGCCUUAACUCAUCUGAACCUAAACCCCCAUGUCAUGUUGCUGCUGUUUGCUUCCUGCCUCAACUGCUCUGUGCAUGGUGCCUUCCUGUUUUGUGGAGAAAAGCUGCUUCAGUUCAUAGUCAAAUACAAAGCUGUGUCUGUCAGGGCAGGGGGACAGUGGCACAUCAGACCUGCUUGCCAGGAGAACCCCCCUGGGUCACGGUUAGCACUUGAGAAAGUCUUGGAAAACAGAAAUAUUUGGGAGUGCUGUGAUCCAGGGAACUCCCCUCGCUGUGGAACAGACUCUGUAGGUGUUCACCUCUGGGAGAUGUGUCUGGCUGGGCUUUGUGUUUGUUUAUGAAAAUAAUAAUUUUAAUCAAAAUUAUCUUUUUUUUUCUUUUUUUUUUUUUUGUGAACAAAUAGUAAGCUCCUAUUUAGAAUGAAAUUUGUGGAAGGUGAGAGUGGAAGAACAAAUUAUGUUUACUGCCAUAUUGAAAAAGGAAACUUGAUUAUUUUUUGUAAAAUGUAUUUUUGAUUGGCUUGUAUUUACAUGUGAUCUGCUGACCUGGCAGAUGGAGAUAAUUUUUAGAUGAACAAAAUGUUAACUUUUGUCACUCUUGAAGUGGUAUAUUCUGUGUUUUGUCAGCAUGUGGAAUAAUUGCUUCAUUGGAAUGUCUUUCCUUAAAAGGAUCAAGCAAUAAUGUCAAUCAGUUCUCUUUAAAAAACAAAAAAAAAGUAGAAAUAUGUAAAUACUGUUUUUAUAACAAAAAAGUAAGGGAAGAGGGAGGAUGUUACACUCAUAUCAGGGCUCCAGUUAAUUGUUGAAUGUCACUUUAAUAACAGUUCAGAUAGUCCCACUUCAUAUUUUUAUUUGUUAAUCUGUAAAUACCAGGUUUAAGUUUUUAUUUUUAUGCUGAUUUUGUGGGAUAACCUAAAUGUGAUCUUCAGUUUCUCAGAUGAUUUCCUGUCUUUCCUUUGGUGAGUUGUGCUGACAGCAGAGUAGAGAUCUCCUGGACCACACAGGUGUUUGGGUAUCCCUAAUUCUCAGCUAUUCCCUGUCUCUGCCCACUCAUUCUGCACCACCAACCACCAUGGCCAUGGAAGCCAGACUCAGCUCUUGCCCCAGAUAAGUGCUCUUUCAGUAACUUUAAAAGCAUAGCCCAGGGAGGGAGGUGGUUCCAAGUGUUCUCAGGCUCAACCAGGAAGAGGGAAAAGGAGAGUGGAGAGCUCUCCUCAGCUGGCAGAGCUCCUUGGGCCUCACUCCCCAUGUCCUGCUGAGGGCUCCUCUGCAUACAAACCAUAAAGCACCAGCACUUCAGCUCCUUUUCCUUUUGUCUCUUUUCCCAAUCAGUGUUUUGGGAGCACAGCUCCCAUGGGGCCUGCCCAGGUCUCUGUCUGUCAGGCUUGGAGCUGCCAAAACCAUGUGCCAAUUCACCUCAUGGAGGAGUCACAGGAGGGGGAUUUGCAGUCCCAGGGUGCAGGAAAUAGCAGCAGGAUGGCAGGAGACAAAUCCCAUCUGCACAUCUCCCGCUCCCGGAUUUUAUUCUGGUGGCAUCUCCCUGGAGAUGAGAUGGGGAAAUCUGUCUGAUGUAAAAGUCUUCUCCCUGUUGCUUUGCCCUGUUUCUCGUGGCAGUGUUGCCAGUGUUAGUCUGGCAGCCCCUCUGCUCCCCACAGAGCAGUGAUCCCCAGCAUUCUGAAUUUGGGGAAUUUGGGGAUGGGCCCUGUCAGUGCAGCCACCACCAUUGACCAGCUCCUUUUCAAACCUUGCACAGAUUUCCUUCCCUCUCCAUUAGAUGAUGGUGGAAAAGGUGUUUUUUUGGGGUAUAUUGCUGUGGCACCCAGGGUUCCAUGGGUGACACUCACCUGGGCCAGCCUGAGCAGCACGUGCAGGUGAGGAGGAUGAUGGAGGCAAGUCCCUGCUCCCAGGAACAUUCACACAGGCUGGGUUUGCCACUUGCACAGGUGACAGUGUUGUGUUCCCAACAGUUGGAGGAUUUACUGGCUCUUGGUCUAGGCCAGAGAUUCUGUAACUGUUUGUGUUGAGGAAACUGAGGGGAUUGACACGAGGUUUCCACAAAGCCCUUGAAUGUGUUUGCAUUUCCACAUCUGCUUGGACAAUGCACUGAAAUUACUGUAUUGAGUAGUUCAACCUACUACUGAGAAAUGUUUAAUGCUUAAAUGUCUAAUUAAAGAGCAUCUUUAGAAUGUUG
Ficedula albicollis (Collared flycatcher) is the source of this 8522-nucleotide RNA transcript. It is a transcript of the gene named KIAA1671 ortholog, with no coding region annotated. The record is from RefSeq and is a predicted model, not a curated record. The transcript has 15 exons. Lineage: Eukaryota; Metazoa; Chordata; Aves; Passeriformes; Muscicapidae.